Hevea brasiliensis (rubber tree) is the source of this 3164-nucleotide long non-coding RNA. RefSeq lists it as uncharacterized. The record is from RefSeq and is a predicted model, not a curated record. NCBI's taxonomy places the organism in Eukaryota, Viridiplantae, Streptophyta, Magnoliopsida, Malpighiales, Euphorbiaceae. The transcript has 4 exons.
CUCUCCUUGUGCGCGUCCACGGUGUUAGCGUCGAUUGUGGGUCAGGUGGUGAGGAUGCUCAGAUUGUCGGAUAUGGAUGAAUGGAAUGCUAGAUAGUUUAGAAAGAUUGCAGCUGUAUUGGGAGAGGAAGAGUGUGAUUGGAUUAAAGUUUUCGGUGGAAGAGUGUUUAUGUCUCCUACUUUGUUUGAAGGGAUGGUCAAGUGCAUUCUCCUUUGCAAUUGCUAGUAACCUUCCUCUUCUGAUGCCUUUAUGCUGUUUGACAUAUUGUCGCAAGGAGGAUAUUUUAAACUUGUUUUAUUGUAUAAUGUUUAUUUAUUUAUUUUGGGUUUCUCUUGUUUCAAUAUCCUAUCACUCUUGGCAGAUGGUCAAGGACUCUAAGCAUGGCCAGAGCUCUCUGUGAGCUUCAACUGGAACUGCAGUUUCAAUCAUGCAGUGUGAAUGCAAUACCAAGGAUCAACAAACUGAUACAAACAAUUUCAUUCCUAAAACACCUGCAGGAAAAGAGUCCAAGACGAAGCUCAGAGCUUCCAAAGUGUCCACAAAUUUUGACAAAUAAGUUCCUGGGUAUGGAAAUGGAUUUGGAAGCUGAUACUUGCUUGACAAUGGAUGAUGCGCAAAUGAAGAUAGCAAAUUUAAGACCAAACGUCUCUCUUAAUUGUAUAGAAGGUGAUUUCCUCUGGCAAUUACAAAUCAAGUGAGGCAGCAAAUAAAGUUUUCGAAGCCAGUUCCUUUAAAACUUCUGUUCUUCAAUCUCACAAGAUGACACAGCAUUUUGCACACCAACCAAUUUGUAAUUUUCCAAGUCCAAGGGAACUAGCAAUCCUUGAUGAUAGAUUUCUGGCAAAGCGCUGUGGUCUUGUCUGUAUAGCAGGUCGAAUAAUAAAACUUUCCCAGGAUAUUGUUGAAGGGUGGAUUCCAAUAAUGGAGGAAGCAUAUCCAGUUACGGUAAAUUGGCUAAUCAGCUCAGAGAAAUUGAUGGGUUUGGUCCAUUCACGCGACCAAAUGUGCUUAUGUGCAUGGGAUUUUAUCAUGUUAUUCCUACUGAUUCUGAAACAGUGAGGCAUCUAAAACAGGUCCAUUCCAAAAAUUCUACAAUUCAAACAGUUCAAAGGGAUGUUAAAAAGAUAUAAGGAAAAUAUGCACCCUUCCAAUUCUUAGCCUACGGGGCAGAAUUAUGGCACUUCUAUGAGCAAAGGUUUGAGAAGCUAAGUCAAAUGCCUUGCUCUGAUUAUAAACUUAUUACUGCCAGUAAUAUGAAAAAUGAAGGAAGUCGUAAAAUCAAGAGGAGUAGGGUAUCUUGACAGUGAUACGGAGUUAUCAUGACUUAAGUUAAACGAGAAGCUACCGUUGGACCUGUGGCAUAAAUUAUUUCUUCACGGAAGAUACACAUAGGAGGAUGCUUCUGGGAAGAAGAAUAAAGCCCAGCAACUCGGAAGGCAAAUUUUUAGUUCAUGAAUGCUGAAGUGGUCUCCACAAUUCUAAUUCUGUAGAUUCUACCAUGCAGUUAGAGAUUUGUUCAUGGUCAAGUUUACGCAACUUUAUUCUUUUUCAUAAUUCAUUUAUAAGAUGAUACUUCUGAAAUUCGUGAGGAUGCAGAACCUAGUAAUUGCAACUUCUUUACCUUUGUCCUUGUUCCUUACAGCUUCUCACUUCCCUCUUUUGUUAAACAGUUAGGGAUAUAAGGUUGUGAAGUGAAUUAUCAUAAAAUAUGUCUUUGGCUAAAGUUGGACAACCACAACAGGCAGCCUCUUCAUUUAAUCUAGAUGUGGCCCUAACUUUAGUAUGUUCUUAUUAAAUGGAAGCUAAUGAGUGAAAUCCAAGCACCUGUUCUUUGCAGUCCAAGGACUUGGUUAUGGUUCUUCUACUUCUUCAGUUCUAAGCCUUUCUGAUACAGAUGUUCAAGGGAUAGCAAAAAAUGCAACCUGAGAACGAGUACUAAAUAUUUAGUUUCUAUAUCUUCAAGAAACAUAGCGGUUGUGAAAUUUGCUAUUUUCGUACAUUUGCAGGCUGUUUAUUAAGUAAGAAAAUGGCACAUUCAUUGUGAGACAGUCACAUUUGUAUCUUUCAUCUAUCUACAUGCAGAUUAGCAAUUUGAUCCGGUGCAUAGCUUUCCUUUUUUUUUUUUUUUUUUUUGGUCAAAAUCCGGUGUAUAGCUGAUCGGUAGAACUUACAGAUGUAUCAAUGUCAUUUUUGAGCUGAAUAAUUUGAGUGGAAUUGUGCCUGUGAGCUGAUUUUGUCCAAGAUGACUGCAAAUAAUGAUCAAAUCACCGAUCAUUAAGUUGGAGAAAAUAAGAGGACUAUAAAAUUAAGAAAUGACCGAAUAUACUUGGUUACAUACAAGUGUCUUGUAUUUACUAGCAAAUCCAAACCAGGUGAAGUCUCAUUUGAGACUGGAAUUGUUCCUGUGAGGUUAUUGUCAGUUACAUCCAGCGAAUACAGGUUCAACAGAUUGCCAAUAGAAGGUGGCAUUUCUCCAAUGAAUUUGUUAGAAGCUAAAGAUCUGCAAAGAAUUGAAAAAAGAGGGGUUCUAAAAAUAUGAAAAAUCCACAGGUGCAAUGUAGGUUCAAGUUUUAUCUAUGAAUUUGCAUAGAUCAUCUGAAAAAAAAAAAAGAAUUUUUUAGAUUUUGUGUUCCAAUUAAUGAAAAGACAUCUUGAGUUGGCAGAAUUGCUUCUCAUUACAUGCCUGCAAUUUUGUGACCUCCAUAAAUAAUAGCAAGAUGAAUACCAUAGUAGAAGUCCUUACAAUGAGAUAAGCUGUGUUAGAGAUCCUAUUGUGUUGGGAAUUGGACCAAAAAAACUGCAACCAACCAGGGAUCUGGCAUGAAAAAGAAAAUUAGGCAGUGAAGCAUGAGGUUGUACCUCCAUAAGUUGGAAGAAUAACAAUUUUCUUACAGGUAUACAAGGUUAUUCAAAUUUCCAAUUGCUGGUGGAAGAGUUCCUGUCAAACCCAUAUUUUGAGAUAAAUCCCUACAUGUGGAAACUGAUAAUCAGGGCAUCGUAUCAUCAUAUAAAUAUUCAUCUUUGAAAUGCUUCACAUGCUCUGGUAGGUUAUUCAAGUGUUACUGAUGUUCAUUGCAAAAUGCUAGGAGUUCUUCCACCUGAUGGUUUCUAAGGCAUAAUAGCUGGUUCUUGGAUGCUGUGAUAAAUAGUAUGUGCUUGUUUGC